Molecule: ribosomal RNA, 450 nt
Filed under: Triticum aestivum (bread wheat)
Lineage: Eukaryota; Viridiplantae; Streptophyta; Magnoliopsida; Poales; Poaceae
Description: partial small subunit ribosomal RNA
Source: RNAcentral
AUGGUAGAUGGUGGGAUUGCGCAGGACCGUGGUGUAGGAGCAGCUGCAGCAGUAUGCAGAGACCAACAGGGUCUGUACUUGGGAUCCUCAUGGCUGGUCAUUCCGGGAGUUUUAGACCCGACAGUUUUGGAAGCCAUUGCCUGUCGCGAGGCGCUAGCGUUGGCCGAAGACCUAUCUCUCCAGAACUUCGUGGUGGCUUGUGAUUACAAACAGGUGGUAGAGGAUAUUAAAGGAGGGACUGGCGGAGCUUACUUAUCGGUCAUCAGAGAAAUCUCCCAAAGGAGCCCCGUUUUUAAUAGCUGUAGCUUUAUUUUUGAAAGCAGAGCUUCAAAUAGCGAUGCUCACAGUCUUGCUAAACACUCAUUUUUGCUUGAUCGGGCUCGCCAUUUGUGGCUUUUAUCUCCUUAUGGCCCGGCAUGUAUUCCUCUUAAUGCUACCAUAGAUCAAUAA